This 1231-nucleotide long non-coding RNA is filed under the name Sinocyclocheilus grahami. RNAcentral's name for it is "lncRNA (ENSSGRG00000043961.1)". Lineage: Eukaryota; Metazoa; Chordata; Actinopteri; Cypriniformes; Cyprinidae. The record is from RNAcentral.
UCCUGGCUGAGACAAAGUUGAUUCUUCAGAUGUGAAUGCACAAGAGAUGCACAAAACUUCAUUGUGUUUUCUCUAUUUAUAGAACUUGAAUCAGUGCAACACUGAAACCAAACCAAAACAUUUCGUACAGAACAAAGUGCCUUAAAAUUGCCUGCCUACACACUGACACAAAACCUUUCAAACUCUUAUUUCACAUAAUCCCCUGACGUAUAGACGGACCCUCUCCGGGGAACAGGUGGGUCUAUAUCUACACAGGCAGCUCAUCCUCAGCUUGCAAUCAUUCCCUGUAGGAGAAACAGAGAUUGUGAGAAUUUGUCCAGACGUGAAGAUGUUGGCAGUUGUGGUUGUGUUAUUCCUGGCAGCCGGCGUGAGCGACAGCGUGAUUUUGAGUAAAUGCGAGCUGAAGCAGCAGCUUGAAAGUGUCAUUACUCUGCCAAUUCCCAAUUCUGCAGACAUGCUGGCACAGAUCGUGUGUCACGUCCAGCUGACCUCUGGCUUCAAUACCAGUGCCAUUAAGACGAUCCCUGAGCCACAAGAGCGCAAUGGUGGUCACGGUUCUCGCCGUGGUAGGUCCCCCAGAGGAAAAAAUUCAGGCGACUCCUCCAGUUUGGAAAGUGACGAGGACAAAAGUGAGGUCUGGACUCUGUACGGCUUGUUCCAGCUUAGUGACCACGUGGUGUGCCGCUCUAUUCAAAGUCGUACACUGAACCUCUGUAGGCUGACCUGCGACAAGCUGAUUGACGAUGACACCAGUGAUGACAUCGCCUGUGUCCAGGCCCUUAUAAAUGCAGUAACUGCGCCGAUUCCUGACCGCAAAACUGCUAGACACAUCCGUGAAAUGUAAGUGAAUGAAACAAGAACCAAUUCAAUACAGCAAUUACUUGAAAACAUGAAUGAAUUUACUGUGUUUGCAUGAUGCAAGUAUAUUAAAAAUUGACACUGAGAUCUCUAACUCAGCUACUGUCACUGCUUGACUAAACCAGAUUUCUAAAAAUGAUACUUGAUUGUUUGACAGGAUCUCGCUGAUCCACCAGCCACAGUGCAUCGCCGUGAACGCCACUUCAUACUUCGCCGACUGUUAAACACCCUGAAUUCAAGACCUCUUGAUUUGAGUCCUGACCUCUUGUAGCUCCUUCUGUGCAUUUAUAUUCGUAGCUUUCUUGCAAGACAACAAAAUCCCAGCACAAGUAGCUUGUGUUUUGUAUACGAGUCAUUAAAACCAUUUUAAAAG